Long non-coding RNA from Triticum aestivum (bread wheat), 1420 nucleotides. RefSeq lists it as uncharacterized. The transcript is spliced from 2 exons. NCBI's taxonomy places the organism in Eukaryota, Viridiplantae, Streptophyta, Magnoliopsida, Poales, Poaceae. The record is from RefSeq and is a predicted model, not a curated record.
ACCCCCACCUUCUCCUUCUCCCGACACAUCCCACCCUCGGCAGCGCCUCACCAUCACCCACCACCCACCCCGGCGCCCCACCUCCACCCCACUCGUGGCGCCCCACCUCCACCCCACCCACUGGCGCCCCACAACCACCCCACCCCUCUUCCGCCUGGCCGGUGCCGCCGCCCAUACUCUUCCUCCCGGUCGGGGCCGCCGCGCCUCCUCUUCCUCACGACCGAGGCCGCCGCGCUUCCUCUUCCUCCCGGAAUCGCCACCGCCCCUGGAUCCCCUUCCUUCUUCCACCUUUCUUCAACGCCCACGGCCAGCCCACCGCGGCCUCUCCUAGUCGCCGCAUACCUCACGGAUCCACCUCGGUGUCGCCCAGAUCUGGCGGAGCACGCGUCCGAUUAGCCACCGGGCUUUGGUGGCCGUGGGUGACCGCUGUCGGAGGAGGAGGUUGGGGGGAGGAGCGGACCACGGGAUCUGGCGGAUCCGCGUACGAGGGGAGGUGGUGAGCCUGUCGCGGCGACGGGGAUCGCAGGUUCUGAAGGUGGCCAGAGAUCGCCGUCCUCCUCUCUCUUUCCCCCCGUCCUCCACUACCUUCUAUCGGCGACCUCUGCAAGCAGCCCGGACGAUGACGCCACGACUAGCUCAAGAUGCCUCCAGCCCCCGUGCAGCUCGCGUUGUUCGUCCAUGCGGCGCGGAGCGCGUGUACGUGCAGUCCUCGAAGCUGAACCAUGGUAGCCGGGAGGCUCACAAGAAGGGAAGCGACAAAGGGAGCUCCACCCCAUGUGGAGAACAGGAACGUUGCUGAAGCCAUAAAAAACUGGGCGGUGCAGUCCGUCGAGGCAUCUUUUGAAGCUCACUUCAUUUUGUUUUAUAGCUCGCCGUGGACUAAAAAAUGAGCCAAGUUUCCUCGCGCGACGCCGUUCAGUUCGGCAAGCCGUGGCAUGCAGUGCGCUGGCAUGGAUUGCAGCGCUGGCAUCUUCAUCUUCCCCAGUUCGUCUCAAAAAAGGGGUGUAGUGCAGGAGAUGCCAAAACGACAUCUUCCUGUUCAGUUUUUUGAUUUUGGGCAGAUGUUCAAAUGAAGUUCAGUUUUUGCAGCCCACAUUCAGCGGUGUGAGCAGCUCCCAAGUGCAGUUUGAAGUCCGCAGUGCACUCCGGUGGGGGCAAAGGUGCACUCUUGUCCUGCAUUGUGCAGGCCGAGAAGUGGACGAGACGAGACGAGCCUGGUGGUUCUUGCAGUUUCUAUUGGGUGCGAUGUGAUUCACACCGUGUGGGUCGCGGCAUGCGGUUCCGAGUGGAUGUUGGUGAAGUCGUGUUUGUGUGUGUGUGUUUCAGUCAUGUGUAUAUAAUUUCUUUUUCUCUGUUAUUAUGUGGAUGUUUGCUUGUGCAAACUUAUAUUAAAUGUGUCUUUUCUUUAUUAUUUGCAUCA